This 1398-nucleotide ribosomal RNA is filed under the name uncultured organism. RNAcentral describes it as "16S ribosomal RNA". It matches the Rfam family "Bacterial small subunit ribosomal RNA". The record is from RNAcentral.
CAUGCAAGUCGGACGGUAGAAAGGUGCUUGCACCUUUUGAGAGUGGCGAACGGGUGAGUAACACGUAGGUAAUCUACCUAGAAGUUGGGGAUAGCCUGUGGAAACACAGGGUAAUACCGAAUGCGACCGUGUAAACGGUGAAAGAGGCUUUGGCCUCGCUUUUAGUUGAGCCUGCGGCUCAUUAGCUGGUUGGUGGGGUAACGGCCUACCAAGGCGACGAUGAGUAGCCGGCCUGAGAGGGCGACCGGUCACACUGGGACUGAGACACGACCCAGACUCCUACGGGAGGCAGCAGCUAAGAAUCUUCCGCAAUGGUCGAAAGGCUGACGGAGCGACGCCGCGUGGACGGAGAAGGCCGGAAGGUUGUAAAGUCCUUUUCUCGGAGAAGAAUAAGGUGCGGAGGGAAUGCCGCAUUGAUGACGUUAUCUGAGGAGUAAGCCCCGGCUAAUUACGUGCCAGCAGCCGCGGUAACACGUAAGGGGCAAGCGUUGUUCGGAAUUAUUGGGCGUAAAGGGCGCGUAGGCGGCUGAGCAAGCCUGGUGUGAAAGGCCACAGCUUAACUGUGGGAGUGCGCUGGGAACUGUUUGGCUGGAGUUCAGGAGGGGAAUCUGGAAUUCCUGGUGUAGGGGUGAAAUCUGUAGAUAUCAGGAAGAACACCUGUGGCGAAGGCGAGAUUCUGGCCAUGAACUGACGCUGAGGCGCGAAAGCGUGGGGAGCGAACAGGAUUAGAUACCCUGGUAGUCCACGCUGUAAACGAUGUGCACUAGGUGUCGGCUGUAGUAACGGUCGGUGCCGAAGCAAACGCGAUAAGUGCACCGCCUGGGGAGUAUGCUCGCAAGGGUGAAACUCAAAAGGAAUUGACGGGGGCCCCGCACGAACCGGGUGGACCAUGUGGUAUUAAUUCAGAUGAUACGCAGAGGACCCUUACCAGGGCGUUGACAUAUGCAUGACUGGUCGUAGAAGAUACGNCUUCCGUGCGGGCGCAUGCAAUCGAGUUGCUGCAUGGUGCUCGUCAACUCGUGCUGUGGAUUGUUGAGUUAAUCACAACAGCGGACACAGCCCGGUCUGGUGUGUAACCAACACAUAAAGUGGGAAACUCAGACGGUACUGCCGGUAACAAACCGGAGAAAGUGGGGAUAACGUCAAAUCAUCAUGGCCCUUAUGUCGUGGNCUACACACGUGCUACAAUGGUCGGUACAGAGCGUCGCAAAACCGCGAGGUGGAGCAAAUCGCAGAAAGCCGGCCUCAGUACGGAUUGGAGUCUGAAACCCGACUUCAUGAAGUUGGAAUCGCUAGUAAUCGCGCAUCAGCAUGGCGCGGUGAAUACGUUCCCGGGCCUUGUACACACCGCCCGUCACACCACCCGAGUUGGGGGUACCCGAAGUCGCUCGUCUAACC